AUACGGAGGAUGCGAGCGUUAUCCGGAUUUAUUGGGUUUAAAGGGAGCGUAGGCGGGAGCUUAAGUCAGCGGUUAAAUGGUGCGGCUCAACCGUGCCCUGCCGUUGAAACUGGGUUUCUUAAGAGUGCAAGAGGCGGAUGGAAUUCAUGGUGUAGCGGUGAAAUGCUUAGAUAUCAUGAAGAACUCCGAUUGCGAAGGCAGUCCGCUGGGGCACGUCUGACGCUGAUGCUCGAAGGUGCGGGAAUCAAACAGGAUUAGAUACCCUGGUAGUCCGCACGGUAAACGAUGAUUACCCGCUGUCGGAGGCAGACAGUCGGCGGCCAAGCGAAAGCGAUAAGUAAUCCACCUGGGGAGUACGCCGGCAACGGUGAAACUUAAAGGAAUUGGCGGGG
Molecule: ribosomal RNA, 392 nt
Filed under: uncultured bacterium
Lineage: Bacteria
Description: partial 16S ribosomal RNA
Rfam family: Bacterial small subunit ribosomal RNA
Source: RNAcentral